Chrysemys picta bellii (western painted turtle) is the source of this 195-nucleotide small nuclear RNA. Its record names the gene U2. It matches the Rfam family "U2 spliceosomal RNA". From Rfam's summary of the family: U2 is a small nuclear RNA (snRNA) component of the spliceosome (involved in pre-mRNA splicing). Complementary binding between U2 snRNA (in an area lying towards the 5' end but 3' to hairpin I) and the branchpoint sequence (BPS) of the intron results the bulging out of an unpaired adenosine, on the BPS, which initiates a nucleophilic attack at the intronic 5' splice site, thus starting the first of two transesterification reactions that mediate splicing. The record is from Ensembl. Lineage: Eukaryota; Metazoa; Chordata; Testudines; Emydidae.
AUCACUUCUCAGCCUUUUGGCUAAGAUCAAACGUAGAAGCUGUUAUCUGAUCAAUAUCUAAUACAUCCCCUGUGUGGGGCCAGUAUUUGAGGCAGUUUUGCCUAGUGGAUAGAGCACUGUCUGGGACCUGGAUACCUGGUUUCUAUUCCAGCUUUGCCACUGGCCUGUUAGGUGACCUUGGGCAAGUCACAUCUC